RNAcentral lists this ribosomal RNA (478 nucleotides) under uncultured organism. RNAcentral describes it as "bacterial SSU rRNA". It matches the Rfam family "Bacterial small subunit ribosomal RNA", at positions 28 to 507 of the family's 1533-position model. The record is from RNAcentral.
GAUGAACGCUAGCGGGAGGCCUAACACAUGCAAGUCGAGCGGGAAUCUCUUUCGGGAGAUGAGAGCGGCGCACGGGUGAGUAACGCGUAUGCAACCUGCCCCACACAGGGGGAUAGCCCGGAGAAAUCCGGAUUAAUACCCCAUGAGAUUAUGAAGUCGCAUGAUUUUAUGAUCAAAGUUCCGGCGGUUUGGGAUGGGCAUGCGUGACAUUAGCUUGUUGGUGAGGUAACGGCUCACCAAGGCUGCGAUGUCUAGGGGUUCUGAGAGGAUGAUCCCCCACACUGGUACUGAGACACGGACCAGACUCCUACGGGAGGCAGCAGUGAGGAAUAUUGGUCAAUGGGCGCAAGCCUGAACCAGCCAUCCCGCGUGAAGGAAGACGGCCCUAUGGGUUGUAAACUUCUUUUGUACAUGAAGAACGUUUCUUACGAGUAAGAGAGUGACGGUAAUGUACGAAUAAGCAUCGGCUAACUCCGUG